Molecule: ribosomal RNA, 396 nt
Filed under: uncultured bacterium
Lineage: Bacteria
Description: partial 16S ribosomal RNA
Rfam family: Bacterial small subunit ribosomal RNA
Source: RNAcentral
AUACGUAGGGGGCGAGCGUUGUCCGGAAUGAUUGGGCGUAAAGGGCGCGUAGGCGGCCCGGUAAGUCUGGAGUGAAAGUCCUGUUUUUAAGAUGGGAAUUGCUUUGGAUACUGUCGGGCUUGAGUGCAGGAGAGGUAAGUGGAAUUCCCAGUGUAGCGGUGAAAUGCGUAGAGAUUGGGAGGAACACCAGUGGCGAAGGCGACUUACUGGACUGUAACUGACGCUGAGGCGCGAAAGUGUGGGGAGCAAACAGGAUUAGAUGCCCUGGUAGUCCACACUGUAAACGAUGAAUGCUAGGUGUAGGGGGUAUCGACCCCUUCUGUGCCGCAGUCAAACCAAUAAGCAUUCCGCCUGGGGAGUACGGCCGCAAGGUUGAAACUCAAAUGAAUUGACGGG